Molecule: non-coding RNA, 92 nt
Filed under: uncultured Ruminococcus sp.
Lineage: Bacteria; Bacillati; Bacillota; Clostridia; Eubacteriales; Oscillospiraceae
Description: SAM riboswitch (S box leader)
Rfam family: SAM riboswitch aptamer (S box leader)
About the family: The SAM riboswitch is found upstream of a number of genes which code for proteins involved in methionine or cysteine biosynthesis in Gram-positive bacteria. The SAM riboswitch acts at the level of transcription termination control.
Source: RNAcentral
CUUAUCAAGAGCGACAGAGGGAACAGGCCCUGUGAAGUCCGGCAACCUGCUUUUGCAAGGUGCUAAAUCCUGCGGUAUUACCGAAAGAUGAG